RNAcentral lists this transfer RNA (69 nucleotides) under Mesorhizobium sangaii. RNAcentral describes it as "tRNA-Thr". Lineage: Bacteria; Pseudomonadati; Pseudomonadota; Alphaproteobacteria; Hyphomicrobiales; Phyllobacteriaceae. The record is from RNAcentral.
GCCUCGAUAACUGGCCGCAUCUCAUUCGUAAUGAUGGGGUCAGGUGUUCGAGUCACCUAAGCGGCACCA